GGCCCCAUCGUUUAGCGGCCUAGGACGCUGCCCUUUCACGGCAGUAGCACGGGUUCGAAUCCCGUUGGGGUCACCA
This 76-nucleotide transfer RNA is filed under the name Subtercola boreus. RNAcentral describes it as "tRNA-Glu". It matches the Rfam family "tRNA". From Rfam's summary of the family: Transfer RNA (tRNA) molecules are approximately 80 nucleotides in length. Their secondary structure includes four short double-helical elements and three loops (D, anti-codon, and T loops). The record is from RNAcentral. RNAcentral also lists the same sequence under 1 other name. Lineage: Bacteria; Bacillati; Actinomycetota; Actinomycetes; Micrococcales; Microbacteriaceae.